UGGGGAACAUGUGGAGAAGUUUCCUUUGUUCUCUUGGUUAUCAACGAUACAAAUGCCUAGCAAAGAUGUAGAUGCGAAGUGUUUACUCUAUUACCUGGUGCCACAUGUAUGUGCAACUAUUUACAAUUACGACUCCUCAUCAUGGACAAGGAUUAUCCUGACUUUCAAGAAUGCCUGAAUUGCUUUGCCUUGCUGUUCUGGACCUGAGCCCUAGGACCAUGCCUCAGGACUACCUGACAUGACUCCUUGCUGUCCCCAGUCCACCUGGCCGUGCUGCUGCUCCAGCUUCAACUGUUCUGCCUUAUUGGAUCAUGCUGGUCAUUUAUGAACAUUUGAACAUCUUGGCCAUGUUCUGUUAUAAUUUCCACCCGACACAGCCAGAAGAGGACUGGCCACCCCACAUAGCCUGGUUCCUCUCUAGGUUUCGGGCUUUCUAGGGGGUUUUUCCUAGCCACCGUGCUUCUACACCUGCAUUGCUUGCUGUUUGGGGUUUUAGGCUGGGUUUCUGUACAGCACUGAGAUGUCAGCUGAUGUACGAAGGGCUAUAUAAAUAAUUUUGAUUUACAAUGAAUUUCACAUGCUGUUGUGCAAAUGGAAUAGAAAACAGGUGGAAAUUAGGCAAUUAUCAAGACACCCCCAAUAAAGGAGUGGUUCUGCAGGUGGUGACCACAGACCACUUCUCAGUUCCUAUGCUUCCUGGCUGAUGUUUUGGUCACUUUUGAAUGCUGGCGGUGCUUUCACUCUAGUGGCAUCAUGAGACGGAGUCUACAACCCACACAAGUGGCUCAGGUAGUGCAGCUCAUCCAGGAUGGCACAUCAAUGCGAGCUGUGGCAAGAAGGUUUGCUGUGUCUGUCAGCGUAGUGUCCAGAGCAUGGAGGCGCUACCAGGAGACAGGCCAGUACAUCAGGAGACGUGGAGGAGGCCGUAGGAGGGCAACAACCCAGCAGCAGGACCGCUACCUCCGCCUUUGUGCAAGGAGGAGCAGGAGAAGCACUGCCAGAGCCCUGCAAAAUGAUCUCCAGCAGGCCACAAAUGUGCAUGUGUCUGCUCAAACGGUCAGAAACAGUCUCCA
Oncorhynchus masou masou (cherry salmon) is the source of this 1073-nucleotide long non-coding RNA. RefSeq lists it as uncharacterized. The record is from RefSeq and is a predicted model, not a curated record. The transcript has 3 exons. NCBI's taxonomy places the organism in Eukaryota, Metazoa, Chordata, Actinopteri, Salmoniformes, Salmonidae.